AGCUUUGCGCAGUGGUAAUAUUGUAGCCAAUGAGGUUUAUCCAAGGUGAGAUUAUUGCUAAUCGAAAACUUUUAACUUUUCCCAGUACCCCACCAUGAUGGCUUGAAAUAUAGUCAGCACUGGCAAUUUUUGACAGUUUCUACGGAGA
Molecule: small nuclear RNA, 148 nt
Organism: Vombatus ursinus (common wombat)
Lineage: Eukaryota; Metazoa; Chordata; Mammalia; Diprotodontia; Vombatidae
Gene: U4
Rfam family: U4 spliceosomal RNA
About the family: U4 small nuclear RNA (U4 snRNA) is a component of the major U2-dependent spliceosome. The structure of U4 snRNA from yeast and human has been reported.
Source: Ensembl